Molecule: unclassified non-coding RNA, 250 nt
Filed under: Hevea brasiliensis (rubber tree)
Lineage: Eukaryota; Viridiplantae; Streptophyta; Magnoliopsida; Malpighiales; Euphorbiaceae
Source: RNAcentral
AAUCGAUUGCAAAAAUUAGCAACUAAUUUACAAUCGCUUAUUAAAAUCGGUUGUUAUUCGCAAUCGAUUUCUUAUUAGUGGCUAAUAAUAAUCAAUUUUUAGAACUAAUUAUAAAUCGAUUGCUAAAUUUUUUCUCUCUAAUGUUUUUCCUUUUUUGAUUUGUAACCAAUUUGCGAAUCUGUUGCUAAUAGUAACUGAUUUUUACUACUGAUUUUGCAGCUAAUUUUUUCUCCAAAAAAUUAUAGACUAA